AGCAGCCGCGGUAAUUCCAGCUCCAAUAGCGUAUAUUAAAGUUGUUGCAGUUAAAAAGCUCGUAGUUGAAUUUCGGGAUUGACACAUCGGUCGUGCCUUAAGGGGUAUGAACUGGUGUAGUCAAUUUCUCACCUUCUGGAGAACGGCGAUGCCCUUAAUUGGGUGUCGCGGGGAACCAGGACCUUUACUUUGAAAAAAUUAGAGUGUUUAAAGCAGGCAUUUUGCUUGAAUACAUUAGCAUGGAAUAAUAAAAUAGGACGGCAUGAUUCUAUUUUGUUGGUUUCUAGGAUCACCGUAAUGAUUAAUAGGGAUAGUUGGGGGCAUUAGUAUUCAAUUGUCAGAGGUGAAAUUCUUGGAUUUAUUGAAGACUAACUACUGCGAAAGCAUUUGCCAAGGAUGUUUUCAUUAAUCAAGAACGAAAGUUAGGGGAUCGAAGACGAUCAGAUACCGUCGUAGUCUUAACCAUAAACUAUGCCGACUAGGAAUCAGACGAUGUUAAAAAAAUGACGCGCUCGGCACCUCAUG
Molecule: ribosomal RNA, 525 nt
Filed under: uncultured Glomeromycotina
Lineage: Eukaryota; Fungi; Glomeromycota
Description: SSU rRNA
Rfam family: Eukaryotic small subunit ribosomal RNA
Source: RNAcentral